This 7512-nucleotide long non-coding RNA is filed under the name Lactuca sativa (garden lettuce). RNAcentral's name for it is "long non-coding RNA (LSAT_LNC007756)". The record is from RNAcentral. Lineage: Eukaryota; Viridiplantae; Streptophyta; Magnoliopsida; Asterales; Asteraceae.
UAGACAUCCUGACACCACUCGCCGAGUCUGAAGAACGACUCGACGAGUUCCAGUAGAUCUUCAAGCUACUCGCCGAGUCUGAAGAACAACUCGACGAGUCCUAGUGAACCUUCAAGCUACUCGCCGAGUCUGAAGAACAACUCGGCGAGUUCUAGUGAAUCUUCAAGCUACUCGCCGAGUCUGAUCAUUGGACUCGGCGAGUCCUCGCCAUGCAGUCAAUCCGCUGCCUCCUGUAUUUCGCAUGAUUUCGAAGUAUAUAGAUAUAGGGCUUCCUGGACUUUCACAUAUACUAUUACGGGGUUUUUUAACACUUAUAACAACAAUAUAAUCUAACUAACCCUUAAUUGGGUUUCCUAAACCCUAAACUCGCAUACAACGUAAAAGUUACAGAUUUCGAUCCGAAGAUUACCUGGAAACGUGUUCCCUGUGUCUCCAAACCUCCAGUACUCGAUUCCUUUGAUCACCACCUUGCUCCUCCUUGUCUAACAAUCUCUUCAAGCCUUCUCAAGUCCUCUCUCUUGCUUCAGAUGCUCACACACUCCCAGGGGAUCUUCAACCGGCCAAAAGACGCGACAUGACGGCCAUAAGAUCGUUAUAUACGAUCAGAAAUGAAACGGCUAGGGUUCAGCUGAACGGCGUCGACUCGCCGAGUCCCUUAUUGGACUCGUCGAGUCCAGUCGCGCGUCUGCGACCAAGACCAUGGCCCUACUCGGCGAGUCGUGCACCAACUCGCCGAGUCCCCUCCUAAAUGUGCCCCAAAAAUAAUUUAAAGAAAUACCUGAAAUUCCGGGCUGUUACAACUCUCCCCCACUAGAACUAGACUUCGCCCUCGAAGUCUCUCAUUCUGCGAAUAACUCCGGAUGUUGCUCCCGCAUUUCUCUUUCCGGCUCCCAAGUCAUCUCCGAUCCCUUCCGAUGUUGCCACUGAACCAACACCAGAGGUAUUUCCUUGUUCCGUAGAACCUUGAUCUUCCGAUCCCUGAUAGCUACUGGUCUCUCGGCGUAAUUCAGACUCGCAUCUACCUGGAUAUCUUCUAACGGAACCACUGCUGCCUCAUCGGCUAUACACUUCCUCAGCUGUGAUACGUGGAAGGUAUUGUGAAUCUGAUUCAGCUCCGCUGGCAACUCCAACCGAUAAGCUACCCGACCUACCCUUGCAAUUACCCGAAAUGGACCUAUGAACCGGGGCCCCAAUUUGCCCCUCUUCCUGAACCGAAUCACCCCUUUCCAAGGAGAAACCUUUAGGAGAACGAAGUCGCCGACCUGGAAUUCGAGCUCGGACCGGCGUCUGUCCGCAUAACUCUUCUGUCGGCUCUGGGCGGUCAAUAACCUCUGCCUCACCCGUUGGAUCUGUUCAGUCGUUUGAAGUACGAUCUCUGUACUGCCCAUCACUCUCUGUCCCACUUCUCCCCAGCAAAUGGGAGUCCGACACCUCCUACCAUACAACAACUCAAAAGGUGGCAUACCAAUGCUCGAAUGAUGGCUGUUGUUGUAGGAAAACUCAGCCAGCGGCAGAUGCGCAUCCCAGCUACCCCCGAAGUCUAACACACACGCUCUAAGCAUAUCUUCCAAUGUCUGGAUCGUCCGCUCGCUUUGACCGUCGGUCUGGGGAUGGUAUGCGGUACUAAAAUGCAGUUUAGUACCCAACUCCUCAUGGAAUUUCUUCCAGAACCUGGAAGUGAAACGUACAUCGCGGUCCGAAACAAUCGAGGUCGGCACUCCAUGCCGAGAUACUAUCUCUCUCACGUACAACUCCGCCAACUUCUCUGCUGAUGAACUUUCACUAAUGGCAAGGAAAUGUGCACUCUUUGUUAGUCUAUCCACAAUCACCCAAAUCGCAUCGACUCCCCUGGCAGUUUUCGGCAAUUUGGUGAUGAAAUCCAUCGUGAUCUGAUCCCACUUCCACUCAGGGAUCUCCAAGGGUUGCAACUUACCGUGCGGUCUCUGGUGCUCGGCCUUAACUUUACGGCAGGUCAAACACCUCUCCACGAACCACGCAACGUCUCUCUUCAUGCAAGGCCACCAGUACUCCUUUUUCAAAUCCAGAUACAUUUUCGUAGCACCGGGAUGGAUCGAGAAUUUCGAUCUAUGUGCCUCCUCCAUCAAAAUGACACGCGUACCGCCCACGAAUGGCACCCAGAUCCGACCCUGAAAUGUCAGAAGUCCCCGCCCAUCCGUAACGAACUCUGAAAUUAACCCGACGACCCGCUCCUGUUUCUGCAUCCCAGACUUCACAACCUCGGCCUGUGCCCCACGAAUAGUAUCUAAUACCGGAGUCACCACCGUCAAUCUCAAACAUACGUCCCGCAAUGGAGUACCCUCCGCCCUACGACUCAAUGCAUCGGCUACCACAUUAGCCUUGCCUGGGUGGUAUAGGAUCUCACAGUCAUAAUCCUUAACCACGUCUAACCAUCUCCUCUGGCGCAUGUUUAGGUUGGGUUGAUCCAUCAAAUACUUCAAACUCUUAUGGUCCGUGUAUAUGGUACAACGAACCCCGUACAGGUAGUGACGCCAAAUUUUGAGGGCGAACACUACUGCCCCCAACUCUAAGUCAUGCGUGGGAUAUCUCGCUUCGUGAGGCUUCAGCUGCCUCGAUGCAUAGGCUAUCACAUGGCCCCUCUGCAUCAACACUGCACCCAGUCCUGAAAUCGAUGCGUCGCAAUAUACGACGAAGUCCUCCAUCCCUUCAGGAAGGGCUAAUACUGGUGCUUCGCACAGUCUCUGACGAAGUGUCUCGAAGGAAGUCUGCUGCUCGGGUCCCCAUGAGAAUGUAACACCCUUUCGGGUCAAUUUGGUAAGUGGCACUGCGAUCUUGGAGAAGUCCCUAAUGAACCUUCGAUAGUACCCUGCCAACCCAAGGAAACUCCUGAUCUCCGAAGGUGACUUUGGUGCCUCCCAUCUCAUCACCGCCUCCACCUUGGCCGGAUCGACCAAUAUCCCUGCCUGAUUUACAACGUGCCCCAGAAAUUGAACCUCCCGUAACCAGAAGUCACAUUUGGAGAAUUUUGCAUAUAGCUUCUCCGACCUCAGUACCUCAAGGACCUCCCUCAAAUGUCCCUCAUGCUGCUCCCUAGACCGCGAAUACACCAGAAUGUCGUCGAUGAAUACAAUCACAGACCGAUCCAGCAUCGGCCUGCAUACCCUGUUCAUGAGAUCCAUGAACACUGCUGGGGCAUUGGUGAGCCCAAAAGGCAUCACCACGAACUCGUAAUGCCCAUACCGCGUCCUAAAGGCUGUCUUCUGGACGUCCUCAUCCCGCACCCUUACCUGAUGGUACCCUGAUCUCAAAUCAAUCUUGGAAAACCAAGAUGCCCCUUGCAACUGAUCGAAUAGAUCAUCGAUUCUUGGUAACGGAUAGCGGUUCUUAACUGUCACCUUGUUCAGUUCCCGGUAAUCGAUACACAUCCGGUGUGAACCAUCCUUCUUCUUGACGAACAGAAUCGGUGCUCCCCACGGCGAGCUACUCGGCCGAAUAAAUCCCUUCCCCAACAACUCUUGAAGUUGCGAGGACAAUUCUUGCAUCUCUGGAGGUGCAAGACGAUAAGGCACCUUCGCAAUAGGCGCCGCCCCUGGAACUAGGUCGAUACCAAACUCCACUUGCCUCGCAGGAGGUAUUCCCGGCAAAUCCUCGGGGAAAACAUCUGGAAACUCGCGCACCACUGGAACCUCCUGCAAUGUCUUCGGUCUCUCGGAACUCUCCCGCGUAUCCAUCACAUACGCCACGAAACCGUUACAUCCCCGCUGUAGGCAUUGCCUCGCCCUAGCAGCCGAACAAAAAGCUGAUCUCGAACGGGUACCCUCGCCGUACACCGUAAGAACUCCCCCACUAGGGUCUCGUAUAGUCACCAACUGACGCUCGCAGUCGAUGACAGCGCUGAAUCGGCUCAACCAGUCCAUGCCUACAAUGACACAGACAUCACCCAUCGCAAUAGGAAUUAGGUCAAUCGGAAAUGCGACCCCGAAGAUCUCUAGCACACAUCCCCGAAAAACCUCCGUAGCACAAAUCACCCUCUCAGCCGCAAUGGAAACGCUCAAAGGCCGACUUAACGGCUCACGACUAAUGCCGAUGUGCUGACUAAAAGCUAACGAUACAAACGAUCUACUCGCACCCGAAUCAAAUAAUACUAGAGCAGGCAUAGAGUUCACAAGGAAAGUACCUACACAUACAUUAACAUAAGCAUAACAUUUCGACCUUUAAUUAAAUACAUGAAAGAUAACAUACCUGCCACAACAUCGGGCGCAGCGCGGACCUCCUCCGCAGUCAGCUGAAAGGCUCUCCCGCGAGCCCUCGGGGCCUCGACCUUCACCGGUCGGGUCUCAGUAGUCCGGGUAGUAGGUGUAGCUCCCUGACGAAGUUGCGGGCACUCGGCCUUCCGAUGGCCUGUCUGGUUGCAGUGAAAACAAACCAUAAACCCCUUAGGGCAAUCCCUGGCAAUAUGUCCGUCCUUGCCACACUUGUAGCAACCACCAGUUCGACACGCCCCCUCGUGACUUUUGCCGCACUUCGCGCAAGUGCGACCCUUCGAACCUCCCAUCCUCGAAUCAGCGAACUUAAUCCGCUUGGCUGCCGGCUGAGACUGGGCCGGCCGUCGAUCCACCUGCCGAGACUCAGCCUCCUCCCUCGCUUGAGUCUCCAACUCAAUCUCGCGCUUCCUGGCGUUCGCCUGAAGCUCAGUGAAAGUACGAUAGGUGGAGUUUGACACAAACUCCCGAAUCUCCCUCUUCAAAACACCCAAAUAGCGGCUCAUCCGCGACUGCUCCGUAGAUACCAGCUCGGGGCAGAACAUUGCCCUCUCAUGAAACUUCCGUGUGAUCACUGCCACGGAAUCAGUACCCUGCUUAAGGGUCAAGAACUCCUGAAUCAACCGCUCCCUCUCUACCGGGGGAACGUACUCAUCCCUGAACAUCUCCGUAAACCUCUCCCAUGUCACUGCCGUAAUCUCUGCCUGAGUGAAGUUCACCGUCACGAACUUCCACCAAUCCUUCGCUCCCAGACGGAGCUGGUUCAAGGCGAACCGUACCCUCAAGUGUUCCGGGCAUGAGCAAGUAUAGAAGCACCCCUCGAUGUCGGCGAUCCACCUCAUGGCUGCAAUCGGAUCCUGCGUCCCAUCAAAUUCAGGGGGUUUCGUGUUGCUGAAUUCCCUGAAUGGUAAUGAAUCACCCCCUUGCGGCCUGGCAGCAGCCACCGCUGCGGUAGCGGCAGCAACUGCAGCUUCAGAAAUUGCGGCGCACCGCUCCUCAAACUCCUCCAUCAACGUGGUCUUAAUAGACCCAAACAUCUCCGGGAUCUCAGCCCGGACCGCCGCAGCUACCUCUUCCUGAAUAAUCUGACGAAUCUCCUCGUCACUCGCACCGCUCGAACUCGCCCCAUUGCGUGUGACAACCAUGAUGUCUCUGAAAUACAACAUAAAAUCAUCAGAGACUCCACCAAGUACAAUUGUACUCAAUACGCGCCCUACCCAGUCUCCGAUUUCCAGGGAUUCUUAUUUGAGUCUUCCACUGAUCCGGUGCCUUCGGUAGUACGGGCCCAAUACUACCGACCACACCGUAUCAGUAUUCGUCCCAAAUCUUCCUCCCCAAAUCCCGAAUAACGGGUACUCUACUUCUAGUAUGUACUAUUUACUUGCACGCUACCAAAUAUCUCAUAUAAGCAAUCUCCCUAGACUAAGGCAUCACAAAACAGGCAAUUCUAUUCCUAUCAUGUAUACCUAGUCUUCUAGCAUGCAUAACAAUUCAUAAUUCAGUGCAUAACAUAACAUCGUAAGGUAUUCUGGGGAUCUUUACCGUUCGGACGCUGGCUGCUCGUACACACUGUUCCACCCUUGUUUUUACCGCCUUGCCCUUUAUAAAAUGUUAUGUCCUUAUUAUUUUUAAGAAAAAGUUUUUCCUCAAAUCCCCGGUCUGAGUUCAGUUGCACCCAAAAGUACACCCGAAUCCCUCAAACCAAGGCUCUGAUACCAAUUGUAACAGCUCAAAUUUUCAAAUAAAUUUUUCGUUAAAAAUAAAACAUCAUUAUUCGACAAAAGGGUUUAUUCCAAGUUUAUUUCAAAAUAAAAAUAAUAAAUCUCCAGGAUCUUCAACAGUGGCAGUGUGUACGUGUCACGCCGGCGCCUUCCCACGGUCAUCACUAGUACCUGAAAAACAUAAACACAACUAGUAAGCAUAAAUGCUUAGUGAGUUCCCCAGUAUACGACUUACCCACAUACGCCUUCCGGCCCGGACCUUUCGGUCCACAUAAUAUUGCCUUCCGGCCCGGACCUUUCGGUCCACAUAACAUUGCCUUCCGGCCCGGAUCUUUCGAUCCACAUAACAUUGCCUUCCGGCCCGGAUCUUUCGAUCCACAAGAUAAUUGCCUUCCGGCCCAUACACAUAUAUAACACAUAACACAAAUACUCUAACACAUAAAGCACAUAUAUCAUACCGUUCUUUCUAACACAUAAAGUCUCGCCUUCCGGCCCGUAUAAUCAUACAUCACAUAUAAGCACACAUCGCAUAUAAAGCAUCUAUCUCUCUAGACAUAGCAUGAAUAUAACACACACGACCUUCCGGUCUAACAGUCAAACCCUUCCGGGUGAAGUAUAGUGAGAAGACUCACCUCGUAGUACGCAGGCUAUAACCUCUUCGAGCUACUCGCACACAAUCCGCUAGUCCGCAGGUUCCCUAUAAUACCACAGCCUUAGUUAAUGAUCUUAUCAAACAAGACAACUGACCCCUCUAAGAUAUAUACAGGUCAACGGUCAAUUUUGACCGGACUCGUCGAGUGCAAAGGGUAACUCGACGAGUAUAGACAUCCUGACACCACUCGCCGAGUCUGAAGAACGACUCGACGAGUUCCAGUAGAUCUUCAAGCUACUCGCCGAGUCGGAAGAACAACUCGACGAGUCCUAGUGAACCUUCAAGCUACUCGCCGAGUCGGAUCAUUGGACUCGGCGAGUCCCCGCCAUGCAGUCAACCCGCUGCCUCCUGUAUUUCGCAUGAUUUCGAAGUAUAUAGAUAUAGGGCUUCCUGGACUUUCACAUAUACUAUUUCAGGGGUUUUUAAACACUUAUAACAACAAUAUAAUCUAACUAACCCUUAAUUGGGUUUCCUAAACCCUAAACUCGCAUACAACGUAAAAGUUACAGAUUUCAAUCCGAAAAUUACCUGGAAACGUGUUUCCUGUGUCUCCAAACCUCCAAUACUCAAUUCCUUUGAUCACCACCUUGCUCCUCCUUGUCUAACAAUCUCUUCAAGCCUUCUCAAGUCCUCUCUCUUGCUUCAGAUGCUCACACACUCCCAGGGGAUCUUCAAUCGGCCAAAAGACACGACAUGACGGCCAUAAUAUCAUUAUAUACGGUUCAGAAUCGAAACGGCUAGGGUUCAGCUGAACAGCGUCGACUCGCCGAGUCCCUUAUUGGACUCGUCGAGUCCAGUCGCGCGUCUGCGACCCAGACCAGGGCCCUACUCGGCGAGUCGUGCACCAACUCGCCGAGUCCCCUCCUAAAUGUGCCCCAAAAAUGAUUUAAAGAAAUAC